AACGAACGCUGGCGGCAGGCUUAACACAUGCAAGUCGAACGGUUGUAGCAAUACAGCAGUGGCAGACGGGUGAGUAACACGUGGGAACCUUCCUAGGGGUACGGAACAACUCAGGGAAACUUGAGCUAAUACCGUAUACGUCCGUGAGGAGAAAGAUUUAUCGCCCUUAGACGGGCCCGCGUCGGAUUAGCUAGUUGGUGGGGUAACGGCCUACCAAGGCGACGAUCCGUAGCUGAUCUUAGAGGAUGAUCAGCCACACUGGGACUGAGACACGGCCCAGACUCCUACGGGAGGCAGCAGUGGGGAAUCUUGGACAAUGGGCGCAAGCCUGAUCCAGCCAUGCCGCGUGAGUGAAGAAGGUCUUCGGAUUGUAAAGCUCUUUUACCAGGGACGAUAAUGACGGUACCUGGAGAAUAAGCCCCGGCAAACUUCGUGCCAGCAGCCGCGGUAAAUGCGUACGUACGA
Molecule: ribosomal RNA, 465 nt
Filed under: uncultured bacterium
Lineage: Bacteria
Description: bacterial SSU rRNA
Rfam family: Bacterial small subunit ribosomal RNA
Source: RNAcentral